Molecule: ribosomal RNA, 506 nt
Filed under: uncultured bacterium
Lineage: Bacteria
Description: partial 16S ribosomal RNA
Rfam family: Bacterial small subunit ribosomal RNA
Source: RNAcentral
AGUGAACGCUGGCGGUAGGCCUAACACAUGCAAGUCGAACGGCAGCACAGAGGAGCUUGCUCCUUGGGUGGCGAGUGGCGGACGGGUGAGGAAUACAUCGGAAUCUACUCUGUCGUGGGGGAGAACGUAGGGAAACUUACGCUAAUACCGCAUACGACCUACAGGUGAAAGCAGGGGACCUUCGGGCCUUGCGCGAUUGAAUGAGCCGAUGUCGGAUUAGCUAGUUGGCGGGGUAAAGGCCCACCAAGGCGACGAUCCGUAGCUGGUCUGAGAGGAUGAUCAGCCACACUGGAACUGAGACACGGUCCAGACUCCUACGGGAGGCAGCAGUGGGGAAUAUUGGACAAUGGGCGCAAGCCUGAUCCAGCCAUACCGCGUGGGUGAAGAAGGCCUUCGGGUUGUAAAGCCCUUUUGUUGGGAAAGAAAUCCAGCUGGCUAAUACCCGGUUGGGAUGACGGUACCCAAAGAAUAAGCACCGGUUAACUUCGUGCCAGCCGCCGCCGUAA